RNAcentral lists this ribosomal RNA (407 nucleotides) under Verrucomicrobiota bacterium. RNAcentral's name for it is "Verrucomicrobia bacterium partial 16S ribosomal RNA". It matches the Rfam family "Bacterial small subunit ribosomal RNA", at positions 355 to 776 of the family's 1533-position model. Lineage: Bacteria; Pseudomonadati; Verrucomicrobiota. The record is from RNAcentral.
UGGGGAAUAUUGGACAAUGGAGGAAACUCUGAUCCAGCAAUUCUGUGUGUGUGAAGAAGGUUUUAGGACUGUAAAACACUUUUAGUAGGGAAGAAAAAAAUGACGGUACCUACAGAAGAAGCAACGGCUAAAUACGUGCCAGCAGCCGCGGUAAUACGUAUGUUGCGAGCGUUAUCCGGAAUUAUUGGGCUUAAAGGGCAUCUAGGCGGUAAGACUAGUUGAAGGUGAAAACCUGUGGCUCAACCAUAGGCUUGCCUACAAAACUGUUGAACUAGAGUACUGGAAAGGUGGGUGGAACUACACGAGUAGAGGUGAAAUUCGUAGAUAUGUGUAGGAAUGCCGAUGAUGAAGAUAACUCACUGGACAGAAACUGACGCUGAAGUGCGAAAGCUAGGGGAGCAAACAGG